UCUGUCAUAGCUGGUGCUUACUUUGUUUCUUCAGAUAAACAGUACUUUUUUCUUGCCUUCUAGUAUGCUUUGUAUUUUUUGGUGGUUGUUGAAAUCCAGAAAUGAUGUAUCAGAUAAUAAGAACUCAGGCAAAUAGACCUUUAGUGUGAGGCUUUAUGUUAAUCUGGCUAGGAGUUGGGCUGUGUUUAAUGUUUUUUAUAGCUGUAGGUGUUGAAAGCUUCAAAUUCUUUCAGUGUCCUUGUUUCUUCCCACUGUUGUUUUGGGUUUCCUUAAGAACUCCCUCUUAAAUAGGGCCUGUGCCUUGCAGCUCUUUCAACUAUAAUCUAGUUCCUACCCUGGGGCCCUGUUGAUAUGGCAGUAAGGUGUGUGGGGGGAAAACAUUUUAUAAUCUUAUUAUUAAAUCUCAGUCUUUUAGUGAGGCUGUGUCCCUGAGGUGACUUUUAGAAUGUUUCUUAGUUUUUUUUUUUACUCCCUACCUCCAUGCUCCCUGCCCAGCAGGUGAGACAGGAAGGCUGGAGGGUUAGGGGAGGAUUUGUGUAAUGACCCUUCCCAUGAGGUGGUGUAAGACUCUGGUAAAAAAAUCUUUCCUCUGUAAUGGCGUUUGCUAUGAAGAACAUUCUGGACAUAUUUCAAAAUGGUUAUAUUUACCCUCUGCUGCAAGAGACAUGAGGAGAUUUUUCUUGGUUCUUCAUCAUGAGAAGCUAGUGUGGGAGCCUCCCAAUACUGUGGCCCCUUGGAAUCUCUCAUUCUCACACUAGUUCAUACUUAGCUUCCAGCAAUCUGUUAAAAUUACCAUUUAAGAGUUCCUCUCAGUUUAUGGCUCCAGAAGCUUCUGCCCCAGGUGAGCUGGUAUCAGAAAAGCUGUGCUUUUCUGGAUUUGCUUGUAUUGCCAGGUUUCUAGGCAGUGCAUUGCCCAGAGGCCUCAAUUCUCUAAUGGGUCCAAGAAAAGUUGUUGAUUUUCAGUUUGUUCAGAUUUUUUCUUGUUGUAUGUAUGGGAGUAAUGUCUACCAGCUUUUUACAUGUUGGAGCUAAAAUUAUAAGUCCUAACACAUUUAUUUUAAUUUAUUUGGGAUCAUUCUUUGUCCUGGCUUGUAUACUGAUAUGAAAAACCCCUUGAACUUUCAUUUAUCAUUAAGAAUGUUCCCAUGUUAUGAAAAUUCCAUAUAAAUAUCAUUUAAAAUAUUUUCUAAAUCCCUACAUCUGCUCUGGACCAAUGCUGUCCAGUAAAACUUUCUGUGAUGAUGGAAAUGUUCUAAUAUGUGCUGUUUCUAGAGUGGCCACUAGCCACACGUGGUUACUGAGUACUGAAAAUGUGUCUAGUGCAACUGAGGAACUGGAUUUUUAAUUUUACUUAUUUUUAAUUAAUUUAAAUUUAAAUAGCCAUGUAUGGCCAGUGGCUACUGGAUUAGACAGCACAACUCUUGACAUACCAGCUUUUCUUAGGAGCUUCUUUUAAAAGCUUGAACUCACAAGUGUUUUUUUUUCCCCUUCUGGGACCUUCACGUAUGUUCUUUGCUUUGCAUGGGAUGAGCUUCCCCAGACUCAUUUCAUGAAAAACUUUUUCUAUCCUAGAAGCUUCUCUACGUAUUCCUUCCUCAGAUUGGUCUUCCCUGGCCCCUCAGUCUAUAGAAGGUUAGUUUCCCCUAUUAUUCUUGCUCAUAAAAACCUCCUUGCCUUUUUUAUAUUUACCCCAACUGACAAUUAUACUCACGUGUAUGCAUCUUAAAUGUCUGUUUCUUCCACCAAGUUAUCAGCUCCGUGAAGACAGAUAUCACACUUGAAUCAUUCAUCAUUGUGUCUCUGGGGUCCAGAACAACUUCAGCAAUCAAAGGCAAAACAGUGAGUGGGGUUGUUUGUGCAACUACCAGGACAACACAACAAGAACCAACGAGUUACUUGUUCUCGUUAUGUUUUGUUUUCUUUGACAGGAAUUAAAACACACAUUCCGAUUUCAACCUCCAUGAUAUUGCUUAUGGUUAAACAAAAUUGAACAAAUAAUUUAAGAACUUUGGAAUUUCUCCUACAUUGCCCCAGGGUGAAACCUGGCAAAGGUUUGAAGACAAUGGUGGUAGGUGUGAGUGGAGAGGUAGGUGGGACGGAGUUAGCAGGCAAGCUUUAGCUUUCUUCUUCAUUGAAAGGAUUUACUCCUUCCAGUUUUCCAGCUUUGUUCUAGAAUUGUCACUGAAUUCUUUCUUUCCUACUAACAUGUCUCACAGCUGCUCUUUCUUGUUUCUUUACCAUUGUUUAAUUUAUUUUCACUUGAUAAAGCUAUUUUCCUCCUUCCUUUCUAUUUCUACUCUACUAGAACAACUUCCCUUAACUCACAGGAACUUGGCUCCUUCACUUCACCUGCCUUUGCAAAUCCUGAGCAAGCCUUGCCCUUCUCUCCAUUCUCCUCUCUCUAUUUCAGUCUUCUAGACAGCUUUGUCUUUAUAAUAUUUUCAAAAGUGAAAUAAAUCAUCUAAGAGGAUCAUCACUUUGUUAUCUCCGAGUUCUUCACCCUUUUCUCAAUCCCCAUAUAUGUGGGGACAGGGCAAUUCUUGAUUUAAAAAACUCAGUGCUCCUUGUUAUGAUGAGCACUGGGAGUUGCAUGUAAGUGAUGAACCACUGCAUUCUACUCCUGAAACCAAUAUUGCACUGUAUGUUCGCCAACUAGAAUUUAAACAAAAAUUAGAAAAAAGAAAAAAAAAGCCCUCAUUGCUCAAUGUUCUUUGCUCAAAAUCCUCCCUCAAGACAGUUCAUUUCUACUCCAUUUCACACUCAAAAUCUCGUCCUUGAUAUUUUCAGGCAACAUACCUAUGAUUAAGCACAAGUAGUAGAUAUUCUUUUAUAGAUAGAUCACACUUUCCAAUCUAAAUUUUCUUACACAUGAUUUUUUCCCAACACUCUGUAAGCUAUACAGGACAGAGAUCAUUGCCUUCAUUUUACUCCUCAAGAAGCUGAGGCAUAGAAAGAUUUACUCUUUAGAAUUUGUCAGCAGAAGAAGGUGGAUUUUGAUUGAAGUUUAUAGACGCAGGUCAGUGAGGAAAUGGAAAUCCCCAGUUGUCAGGGGUUACAGAGACAGCCAGUUCCCUCUAGAAGUGCUUUCUUCCCUUGGCUCCACUCAGAGACUUCUCUGGAGGCAAUGCUAGGUGAGUUUGCCUGGUACCAACAAAGACUUCCUCCAUACAUGAAUGGAAAGUAUUAAAGCCCAGGGGGCAUACGCGAAACCUGGAAGGAAGUAGGAAAGCAACCAGGACAGGAGGACAGUGGGAGGGGGAAGGAGAAUAAGUGACAGAGGAGGAAAAAGGUGCGAAAUAAUUGCCCCCUAAUUGGUCCUUAUGAAAAUUUGAUAUAUGAAAAUUCCUACUUGAAAAUGAGAUAAAUAAAGAGGUAAUUAUUUGCAUUACAAAUUAACUCUUCACUUCAAAAGAGUAUUUACCACAGGUGUGAUUCUGUGAUGUGAACAUUUAGAAAGGAAUAUGACUUGGGGGAGGGAGGAGAUUUAAACAAUAAAAUCCUGAUUAUAUAAUAUAAUAGGAAAUAAUCCGCAGAUAAAGGGGGAGACAUCUAAAGAAAGACGUCGUUGUACAGGGAGCUCUCUGCAGAGCUCAGGUUUUUAAAACGUACAUGAACAAAAGACAGAGAGAAAGGAUUAUAGAUAAGCUUAAACACAAAAGAUUAUCAUGCACCUUCAAGAACAAAAUAAAGGAGGCUAAAGUCAGGAAUAAACCUAGCUUUACAAGAAGUGCUAAAGGCUGCUAUAAGGAUGUGAAAGCUUUGCUUAGAGUUGAGAGAACAAAUGUGGGGCAACUUGCUCUUUGAGUAAGUGAGGUGGUGCAAUGUUAACAGAAGUUAGGUAGUUUUUACGUUUUUCUAUUAUUUAUUUUGCUUCUGUCUUUUCCAAGGUGCAAAAAGACAAGGAAAUUGGAUUUUUCUUAGAGAGAUGAUGUGGAAGGAGUGUAUUGAUAUUAGCCCACCUGGGCAAGGAAUGGAGAUUCCCAGGGUCUGGUCAUCAAAGACAAGAGAAGACGUGGGGGCCCCUAGGUCAGAUUUGGGAGAAAGCUGGGGAGAAGACAUAGGAGAGGGACAAAGCCAGGAGGAUGGUGAUCUGUCUCUUCCUCCACAAUCUGCUCAGAUCUUGAGUAAAUUCCACUAAAACUUACUAACUGCUUAGUUUAAGUGUAUUUCUUAUGGAAAUAGAAGAUGGAACUCAGCCUGGCUCCCAAGGGGACCUGGGGAAAAUGAAAACCAACUUCCAGAUGCUGGGGCCAGAGGAAAGGGACAGCAGGAUACACCACCUUCGAUUUUGAAAGGAAGGUGCAAUGAGAAUUGAAGUCCCACGUGAGUGAGAAUAAGUGGAUUUAAGUUUCUAGCGCUAGAGGAAUUAAGUGCCAGGAAAUGGAAGUCGUGUGCAGUGUAGAGGGGUUCUCAGAGCCACUAACAGUCAUCUAUUGGUGAUGACUGCUAAUGGAAGAAGUGCCUAAAGGCUGAAGCUUUUCACAAAGGGGAACAGGUUAGAGUCUACCAAAUGUGGAUCGGUAAGCCCUGACAUACAUUCUACUGCAGACGAUUAGUAUAAACUGAAGCCAAUCACAGUAUUCCAUUCGCUUUGCCGGUGUGGAUUUUAGAGUGCAACAGUGACUUACUCCUGGUUCAUAAGACACAAGCAGAAGUCUGCGAGGGAUAACAGACAAAGAAAUGACACGAAGAAGAGGAGAGAGGGUCUGCUGCUGGUGGACAUCGUUGUGUGGUAUAGGACUCCUGGAACUACCCCAUCAUUACCUUGUACUAAUGGAGGUAGGGGGUGAGGAGCCAGCUUGAGCGCAGAGCCAAUACAAGAUUCCCCUGGGAUCUGAAAGACACAUCUUGCUAACAGAUGCACGAAAGAAAUCAAGAUAAAGCACGGAUGCUCACAGACACCGUUCAGAGCUCUGACAGCUGGCUGCUGAGAUGCUGUAAGGAGUUCCUGGGGAAGGAGUUUGGCGGGGCCAUUCUGGCUGCCCCAAGUGCGUGCAUCCUCUGUAAUGGCUGGCUACAACACCAGCUCUGAACGCUAUUUUUGCUUUUCACCUUUUUUUUUUAAUAGAAGAGAAAAUCCUCUCUGGAUUUCUUUGGUUAGCAAAAACAGGUACUUAUGAAGGUCUUUGUGAAAGCAAAAUGGCAUAACUUGAAAUUUCAAAAAGCGGGGGAUACCUGUACUCUGAGGUGAGCAGAGAGGUGACUGGAAAGAGCCUAAGUCCAUGAUGACGUUGAUAAGCCACUGAAUCUGCCAAUCCGAAGCUCAUACUACUUAGAGUGUUCUUCAUAAGUGAGAAUAGUAAACUUGCUCCUUAAAGCAAUUGGAGACAGGGUUUUCUCCCAUUUGGGGCAAAGAAAUCCUAGCUGAUACAAUGGUAUACAUUGAAUUCAACAAAACAUUUUACAGACAUUUUCAUAGCAUCCUUGAUAUAAAGCUAAAUUGGGGCUAGACAACAAUGGCAAGUUGUAUUUAUGGAUGGCCAAAAGAGUGGUGAUAACCAGUGCAUAUCCUACAAACAUUGUUUGACUCUAAAGAUUCGAGCCUCAAUGUUCUAUCAAUAACCUGACCACAUUCCCUUUGAUAUCUUCUUCCAUCUGAAGGUAAUUCAAAUCUCAAAUCCAGUCUAAGGCAGAAGAUAGAGUUAUGAUUCAAAGUGACUUUGCAAGCUAGAAUGCUAGGAUACAACCAACAAGUUGAAUAGAUGACAAAUACAAGAUCCAGCACUGGCUCCAAAAAUCUAGGACACAUCUUAGGACACAGAAGUUCAAGAUGAGAGAGACUUGGUUUAGUAGAACUUUAAUGGAAGACAUCUGGGAACUUUAGAGAAAGAGCGAGAGACAGAGAGCGAGAGCCAGAGAGCACAAGUAGGAGGAGCGG
This is a long non-coding RNA of Zalophus californianus (California sea lion), 5878 nucleotides long. RefSeq lists it as uncharacterized. The transcript is spliced from 3 exons. The record is from RefSeq and is a predicted model, not a curated record. Lineage: Eukaryota; Metazoa; Chordata; Mammalia; Carnivora; Otariidae.